This 578-nucleotide ribosomal RNA is filed under the name uncultured bacterium. RNAcentral describes it as "bacterial SSU rRNA". It matches the Rfam family "Bacterial small subunit ribosomal RNA", at positions 8 to 596 of the family's 1533-position model. The record is from RNAcentral.
AGAGUUUGAUCCUGGCUCAGGGUUAACGCUGGCGGCGCGCAUAACACAUGCAAGUCGAGCGAGGGCUCAUUUCCCGCAAGGGAGAUGGGUUCCUAGCGGCGAACGGGUGAGUAACACGUGGGCAACCUUUCCUAUCGCGGGGGAUAACAGCGGGAAACCGCUGCUAAUACCGCAUGUCGUCAUCGGUCGCAUGGCCGGUGAAGAAAGCAGCAAUGCACGAUGGGGUGGGCCCGCGGCCUAUCAGCUAGUCGGUGGGGUAACGGCCUACCGAGGCGAUGACGGGUAGCUGGUCUGAGAGGACGACCAGCCACACGGGGACUGAGACACGGCCCCGACUCCUACGGGAGGCAGCAGUGAGGAAUCUUCCGCAAUGGGCGAAAGCCUGACGGAGCGACGCCGCGUGUGGGAUGAAGUCCUUCGGGAUGUAAACCACUGUUGGAGGGGAAGACAUCGACGGUACCCUCCGAGAAAGCCCCGGCUAACUACGUGCCAGCAGCCGCGGUAAUACGUAGGGGGCGAGCGUUAUCCAGAUUUACUGGGCGUAAAGCGCGUGUAGGCGGCUGGUUAAGUGUGAUGUG